Molecule: ribosomal RNA, 442 nt
Filed under: uncultured bacterium
Lineage: Bacteria
Description: bacterial SSU rRNA
Rfam family: Bacterial small subunit ribosomal RNA
Source: RNAcentral
GGACCUUCGGGCCUCUUGCCAUCGGAUGUGCCCAGAUGGGAUUAGCUAGUAGGUGGGGUAACGGCUCACCUAGGCGACGAUCCCUAGCUGGUCUGAGAGGAUGACCAGCCACACUGGAACUGAGACACGGUCCAGACUCCUACGGGAGGCAGCAGUGGGGAAUAUUGCACAAUGGGCGCAAGCCUGAUGCAGCCAUGCCGCGUGUAUGAAGAAGGCCUUCGGGUUGUAAAGUACUUUCAGCGGGGAGGAAGGGUGUAAAGUUAAUACCUUUGCUCAUUGACGUUACCCGCAGAAGAAGCACCGGCUAACUCCGUGCCAGCAGCCGCGGUAAUACGGAGGGUGCAAGCGUUAAUCGGAAUUACUGGGCGUAAAGCGCACGCAGGCGGUUUGUUAAGUCAGAUGUGAAAUCCCCGGGCUCAACCUGGGAACUGCAUCUGAUACU